UGGGUUACAUAUUUGGAUUUACAAAUUUAAUGUUAAAUCUGUUUCAUAAUAGUGUAAAAACAUUUUGGCUCCAUUAUUUAGAUUUUGUUUCCAUUUUUUGCCUCCUUUAUUUGGGCCAAAUAUUACUAAAGUAUCUUAUCUCUUUUUUCACAGCUAAGCAAAAAAACCCCGAGUUCUUUCUCCGAUCCCUCUCACAAACUCAUCGUCUCUUCGUCUCAAUCUCUCCUCCGCCAUGUUUACCGGUCAGUUUCUUCAUGGCUUCCACUAGACAAACCUCUAACCGUCGUCGUCCACGGCCAGCUGAGUUAAAUCUCUUGGGCUGGAAGAGGAGAAGAGAGCUCGGAGGCAGUGUCUGCGAGUGAUGAGAUGUUGUUGUAUAGAGGUUUUGAGAAGCCGAAAGAGAGAGACUGCACAGCUAAGAAGUGUAUCAGUAAAAUGAGCCAGAGCUGUCUUUAUGGCUGCGUUUUUGCACUCUUAUUUCAAGUUCGAGGGAACUUCGUGAAGCCUCUGAAGAAACAAGAGGAAAUGUGGGAGACAAACAUGACUCACAAAAUUAAGCUAUGGUAUCUGACCUUUGUGGGUUCUUCCUUAAGGUACCAAUGUUUAUGGAUUUGUUACUUUUACUUGAAAAUGUAUUAUCUUGAUUCAUUGCUAUUACAUUAUAAUGUUUGACCUCUGUUGUGUUGAGGCAGUUGUCAAGGGUUUUGAUUAUUAUAAGAGUUCAGCAUUUGGGGUUCUUAUGAUUUUUUAGCAGAGAGCAAAUAUAUUUUUUUUUGUCGAAUGGUUCAUUUGUUUAGUUGACUGAGUUUUGCUCUUCUCUUUUCAUUUUCUUCAAUAUGUUGGACAAAUUCUAGGCAAACUUGACAUGGCUCCAUCUGCAUGGGUGCGACUCAUCGACACUUCAUAUGUAUUACACAAAUUUUCAGCUUAAACUUUUGUUAGGUCAACAAAUUUUAGGCGUGUAUGAUGCUUUUUCUAACAUCUGCUUGUAAUACCUAAGGGUUAUGAAUCUGAGAUUUAUUUUUAUAAUAUAUUUUAUGUAUUUAUUUUUUAUAUAGUUCUAUUUUUUAUUGGAAGUUUAUAAAUUAAAUUAGCUACAAAUAACGUUUACUCUAAUAUGUUGAUAUAUUAGCUACAAAUUUGGGAAGAAAUCUGUCACUAGUUUUUGUAGCUAUAUAGUGAUGACAAAUCAGUUGCUAAAGUGUUGCUAAUGAGCAACGGAAUAAGUCGUAGCCAUAACGUUGCUAUUGGCUACAGAAUGUAUUCUUGCUAGUCCGUUCCUAUUUAGAUACAGAAUGGCUACAAAUAAAAUUUAGCGUGGGAGCUGAGGCCAAGGAUUUCAUCUGUAGUCAUCCGUUGCUAAUCUAAUUCUAGCUAGAUUGUAUCCGAUAGCUACAGAAAAUGCGGUAGCUAUUUACACAAGUUCUUGUAGUGUCCGGAAAAGGUGAAAGAGAGUUAGAGAAUGAAGUUGUUGUUGUGGCAAAGCUUGAUCAGCAUAGAAAUUUGGUAAGGAUGCUUGAAUUUUGUUUGGAAGGAGAAGAGAAGAUCCUUGUCUAUGAGUUGGUGUCCAACAAAAGCCUUGAUUACUUCCUUUUUGACUCUGGAAUGACGAGAAUUGCUGGAGUGGACCAAACGGAAGACAAUACGAAAAUAAUAGUAGGAACCUAGUAAACUUUUCUGUUUCAUUUUAUGCCUAUGUAGACAGUAAUAAUAUGUUUUUACUAACUUAACGUUUCAAGUAUUGUGGCAGUGGUUACAAUAUGUCUCCAUAGUAUGUGAUGUAUGGUCAAUUCUCCAUGAAAUCAGAUGUGUAUAGUUUUGGUGUCUUAGUUCUUGAGAUUAAAAGUGGCAAAAAGAACAGCAGUCUCUAUGAAAUGGAUGGUAGCUAGUGCUGGAAAAACAGAACAAGCAAUGGACAUGCAAGUGGACGGACCAGGCUGAAAGCUCUCAGCUAAUGGGAUAUUCUCUGAUCUGACUCUAAAGAAAAACCCAGGAGGUUGGGGCACAGGCAGUGUAAUUGAAGUAUUAGUGAGCAUCUGAAAUAUUGUGAACAUGCUUGGACGAUCUGUUGGUUUUUCUUGAACGCAUAAUAACCCAAUAUGAACGCAUCUGAUGACUUCAUACUUAUCAUAGUUAACUCCUAUGACCGGAUCUACAAGUUCCAUCAAUGAAUCAUUGUUCCAAAGCC
Long non-coding RNA from Brassica napus (rape), 2188 nucleotides. RefSeq lists it as uncharacterized. NCBI's taxonomy places the organism in Eukaryota, Viridiplantae, Streptophyta, Magnoliopsida, Brassicales, Brassicaceae. The transcript is spliced from 4 exons. The record is from RefSeq and is a predicted model, not a curated record.